GAACGUAAGGAGGUGUAACCGGGACAACCGGUGGUUUAGGGAUGUAGGGUGGUGUAACUGGGACGACUGGUGGUUUAGGGAUGUAAGGAGGAAUAACCGGAACAACAGGUGGUUUAGGGAUAUAGGGUGGUGUGACAACAGGAGGCUUAGGAAUGUAAGGUGGUGUGACAACUGGUGGAUUGGGGACAUAUGGUGGUUUUGGGACAUAGGGGGGUGGUUUGACAACUGGAGGUAGUGGAACAUAAGGAGGAUGUGGGUGAAGUGGUGGCUUAGGGUGAGGUUUUGGGACAUAGGGGGGGUGUGGAUGCACUGGUGGCUUAGGGUAGUGAGGAG
RNAcentral lists this long non-coding RNA (333 nucleotides) under Phaseolus vulgaris (common bean). RNAcentral's name for it is "long non-coding RNA (PVUL_LNC002467)". Lineage: Eukaryota; Viridiplantae; Streptophyta; Magnoliopsida; Fabales; Fabaceae. The record is from RNAcentral.